Molecule: non-coding RNA, 35 nt
Filed under: Alexandrium minutum
Lineage: Eukaryota; Dinophyceae; Gonyaulacales; Pyrocystaceae
Source: RNAcentral
UUUUUUUUUUUUUUUUUUUUUUUUUUUUCGUUCCC